GUGCGAUUCAUCACCAUCAGCUCGGCCAGUCGGUUCACCGACAGGCCGCCUUCCUUGUUCAGCGCCAUCAGGAGCAUGAACUGCGUCACCCGCACGCCUGAGGGCGCAAGCGCGGCGUCGUAGAUCUGUGUCAUGCGGCGCGCCGCCUUGCGCACGGCGAAGCAGUUGCACGUGUCCAGUCCCGGUUGCGCCAUGACCUGUCCGCUUCCUGUUUCAAGAGUUCCGGCCGUCGCGGCCGGGG
This 241-nucleotide unclassified non-coding RNA is filed under the name Hevea brasiliensis (rubber tree). Lineage: Eukaryota; Viridiplantae; Streptophyta; Magnoliopsida; Malpighiales; Euphorbiaceae. The record is from RNAcentral.